GGAGGCCGGUGGCGGACGUCGCCACUCGCCAACCGGGUCAGGUCCGGAAGGAAGCAGCCCUAACGAGCGGGCACGGGUCGCCUCGCCGGU
RNAcentral lists this signal recognition particle RNA (90 nucleotides) under Ectorhizobium quercum. RNAcentral's name for it is "signal recognition particle sRNA small type". It matches the Rfam family "Bacterial small signal recognition particle RNA". From Rfam's summary of the family: The signal recognition particle (SRP) is a universally conserved ribonucleoprotein involved in the co-translational targeting of proteins to membranes. The record is from RNAcentral. Lineage: Bacteria; Pseudomonadati; Pseudomonadota; Alphaproteobacteria; Hyphomicrobiales; Rhizobiaceae.